GAUGAACGCUAGCGGCAGGCUUAACACAUGCAAGUCGAGGGGUAACGAUGGUGCUUGCAUCAGGCGACGACCGGCGAACGGGUGCGUAACGCGUAUAGAAUCUGCCUUGUACAGGAGGAUAGCCUUUAGAAAUGAAGAUUAAUACUCCAUAAUGUUAUUUAGUGGCAUCAUUAAAUAAUUAAAGAUUUAUCGGUACAAGAUGACUAUGCGUCCUAUUAGUUAGUUGGUAAGGUAACGGCUUACCAAGGCGUCGAUAGGUAGGGGGUCUGAGAGGAUUAUCCCCCACACUGGUACUGAGACACGGACCAGACUCCUACGGGAGGCAGCAGUGAGGAAUAUUGGACAAUGGGCGCAAGCCUGAUCCAGCCAUGCCGCGUGCAGGAAGACCGCCCUAUGGGUUGUAAACUGCUUUUAUACAGGAAGAAACUGUAGUACGUGUACUACACUGACGGUACUGUAAGAAUAAGCACCGGCUAACUCCGUGCCAGCAGCCGCGGUAAUACGGAGGGUGCAAGCGUUAUCCGGAAUCAUUGGGUUUAAAGGGUCCGCAGGCGGUCGAUUAAGUCAGAGGUGAAAUCCCAUAGCUUAACCAUGGAACUGCCUUUGAUACUGGUUGACUUGAGUCAUAUGGAAGUAGAUAGAAUAAGUAGUGUAGCGGUGAAAUGCAUAGAUAUUACUUAGAAUACCGAUUGCGAAGGCAGUCUACUACGUAUGUACUGACGCUCAUGGACGAAAGCGUGGGGAGCGAACGGG
This 753-nucleotide ribosomal RNA is filed under the name uncultured bacterium. Its description in RNAcentral is "bacterial SSU rRNA". It matches the Rfam family "Bacterial small subunit ribosomal RNA", at positions 28 to 776 of the family's 1533-position model. The record is from RNAcentral.